Molecule: transfer RNA, 135 nt
Filed under: Caudoviricetes sp.
Lineage: Duplodnaviria; Heunggongvirae; Uroviricota; Caudoviricetes
Description: tRNA-Arg
Rfam family: tRNA
About the family: Transfer RNA (tRNA) molecules are approximately 80 nucleotides in length. Their secondary structure includes four short double-helical elements and three loops (D, anti-codon, and T loops). Further hydrogen bonds mediate the characteristic L-shaped molecular structure. tRNAs have two regions of fundamental functional importance: the anti-codon, which is responsible for specific mRNA codon recognition, and the 3' end, to which the tRNAs corresponding amino acid is attached (by aminoacyl-tRNA synthetases). tRNAs cope with the degeneracy of the genetic code in two manners: having more than one tRNA (with a specific anti-codon) for a particular amino acid; and 'wobble' base-pairing, i.e. permitting non-standard base-pairing at the 3rd anti-codon position.
Source: RNAcentral
UGCGGUGUAGCUCAACGGUAGAGCAGCCUCUUUCUAAGGGGUGUUACAUUGACGAUACGUCAUGCGUAGAUGCAACGGCCAGUCACCAAUGCUAAAACGUAUGUAUGGUGCUGGUUCAAGUCCGGCCACCGCACC